UACGUAGGGUCCGAGCGUUGUCCGGAAUUAUUGGGCGUAAAGAGCUCGUAGGCGGUUUGUCGCGUCUGCUGUGAAAUCCCGAGGCUCAACCUCGGGCCUGCAGUGGGUACGGGCAGACUGGAGUGCGGUAGGGGAGAAUGGAAUUCCUGGUGUAGCGGUGGAAUGCGCAGAUAUCAGGAGGAACACCGGUGGCGAAGGCGGGUCUCUGGGCCGAUACUGACGCUGAGGAGCGAAAGCGUGGGGAGCGAACAGG
This 253-nucleotide ribosomal RNA is filed under the name uncultured bacterium. RNAcentral's name for it is "partial 16S ribosomal RNA". It matches the Rfam family "Bacterial small subunit ribosomal RNA", at positions 524 to 776 of the family's 1533-position model. The record is from RNAcentral.